RNAcentral lists this ribosomal RNA (700 nucleotides) under uncultured Actinomycetes bacterium. RNAcentral's name for it is "bacterial SSU rRNA". It matches the Rfam family "Bacterial small subunit ribosomal RNA", at positions 62 to 773 of the family's 1533-position model. The record is from RNAcentral. Lineage: Bacteria; Bacillati; Actinomycetota; Actinomycetes.
UCGAACGAUGAAGCCGGAGCUUGCUCUGGUGGAUUAGUGGCGAACGGGUGAGUAACACGUGAGUAACCUGCCCUUGACUCUGGGAUAAGCGUUGGAAACGACGUCUAAUACCGGAUACGAGCUGGGACCGCAUGGUCACCAGCUGGAAAGAAUUUCGGUCAAGGAUGGACUCGCGGCCUAUCAGUUAGUUGGUGAGGUAACGGCUCACCAAGACGACGACGGGUAGCCGGCCUGAGAGGGUGACCGGCCACACUGGGACUGAGACACGGCCCAGACUCCUACGGGAGGCAGCAGUGGGGAAUAUUGCACAAUGGGCGCAAGCCUGAUGCAGCAUCGCCGCGUGAGGGACGACGGCCUUCGGGUUGUAAACCUCUUUUAGCAGGGAAGAAGCGAAAGUGACGGUACCUGCAGAAAAAGCACCGGCUAACUACGCGCCAGCAGCCGCGGUAAUACGUAGGGUGCAAGCGUUGUCCGGAAUUAUUGGGCGUAAAGAGCUCGUAGGCGGUUUGUCGCGUCUGCUGUGAAAACCCGAGGCUCAACCUCGGGCCUGCAGUGGGUACGGGCAGACUAGAGUGCGGUAGGGGAGAUUGGAAUUCCUGGUGUAGCGGUGGAAUGCGCAGAUAUCAGGAGGAACACCGAUGGCGAAGGCAGAUCUCUGGGCCGUAACUGACGCUGAGGAGCGAAAGCGUGGGGAGCGAAC